RNAcentral lists this ribosomal RNA (427 nucleotides) under uncultured Gammaproteobacteria bacterium. RNAcentral's name for it is "uncultured gamma proteobacterium partial 16S ribosomal RNA". It matches the Rfam family "Bacterial small subunit ribosomal RNA", at positions 355 to 774 of the family's 1533-position model. Lineage: Bacteria; Pseudomonadati; Pseudomonadota; Gammaproteobacteria. The record is from RNAcentral.
UGGGGAAUAUUGGACAAUGGGCGCAAGCCUGAUCCAGCAAUGCCGCGUGGGUGAAGACGGCCUGCGGGUUGUAAAGCCCUUUAAGCGGGGAGGAAGGGUCGCAGACGAACAGUGUGCGAUUUUGACGUUACCCGCAGAAUAAGCACCGGCUAACUCCGUGCCAGCAGCCGCGGUAAUACGGAGGGUGCGAGCGUUAAUCGGAAUUACUGGGCGUAAAGCGUGCGUAGGCGGAUCGGUCAGUCAGCCGUGAAAGCCCUGGGCUUAACCUGGGAAUGGCGGUUGAGACGGCGGGUCUGGAGUGGGCUAGAGGACUGUGGAACUCCCGGUGUAGCGGUGAAAUGCGUAGAGAUCGGGAAGAACACCGAUGGCGAAGGCAGCGGUCUGGGGCCACACUGACGCUGAGGCACGACGGCGUGGGGAGCAAACA